This 59-nucleotide transfer RNA is filed under the name Boodlea composita. RNAcentral's name for it is "tRNA-Arg". Lineage: Eukaryota; Viridiplantae; Chlorophyta; Ulvophyceae; Cladophorales; Boodleaceae. The record is from RNAcentral.
GCACACCUGAAAACACCACCUGGAUUCGACCCAGGGAGGUGGUGGGCGACCCGUGUGCU